AGCUGCUAACCAAAGGGUUGUAAACUCUAUGGGGCAGUUCUACCCUGUCCUGUCGAGUCGCUGUGAGUCAGAGUCAACUCGACAGCAACAGAUUACAAACAAGUCUGUCUUGGAAAAAGUACAACUAGAAUGCUCCUUAGAGGAAAGGAUGGCAAGACUUUGUUUCACAUACCUUGGACAUGUUACCAGGAGGGAUCAGUCCCUGGAGAAGGACAUCAUGGAGGAAGACCAUCAAUGAAACAGAUUGACACAGUGGCUUCAACAAUGGGCUCAAGCAUAACAAUUAGAUCCCUGGCUCUGGUAGGUUCCUUGAUCUGUUGUCACGGCUUACCCCGUCCCAUAUCCGGCACCCCCACAGUACCUUCCUGAGAAUGAGGUUGAGAUCUGCACACAGAAUUUCCAGAGUGUGGAAUUUCAACAGGGAAAACUGCAAUGGAGUUGAAACUCAUCUCAUGCAAACUUCUCAGGUGAAGGGGGAUUCGACAACUGAGACUUCACUAAUAAGUGACAAAAAUUAUGUGGGUUCUCUGGUAAGACCACCAACAUUCUUCAGACAUUAGUGAAAUAAAACAGGAGGAGGAGUUUGAGCAUUGAAUUCUCAGUCUACACAUUUUGGAUUGAAGAUAUAAGAGGCAGAGAAUGGAUUCGGAGGAGCUUAUAAAAUAAUGGAACCAAGGCAGAGCUGAUAGGAGGCAGAAAGGAAGAUCCUAGAUCUAGAGAUGGGUCUGUCUACAGAAGGUCAAGAUGAUGAUGAACCUCAUACAAUUGGAAAACUUGAUAUUCCUGGUAAGGAAAAACAUGGCAGAGAGUCUCUCAGUGGGCAUCACAGGUCUGCCUAAAAAGUCUUCCACUGAAUGCAAGGAAUAAAAAGAAUAUUUUUUUUUAAUCAAGAGAAUUUAUUUCAAGAAUUAAGAUUACUACCAACUCACACUCACGAGGAUAGCUAUUAGGAGGAAAAAAACUAAUAAGGAUAGGGAGGAUCUGGAGAAACUGGAGCCCCCAGGUACUGCUGGGGGGAAUAUAAAAUGGUGCAGCCACUAUGGAAAAGAAUUUGGCAGUUCUCAAAAGCAGAAUUACCAUAUGACUCAGCAAUUCCACUUCAAGGCCAUUACCCAAGAGACUUGAAAGCAGAUUCUGAAAUAGAUGUGUGUACACCAAUAUUCAUUGCACUGUUCAACCUAAGUCUCCAUCAAUAGAAGAAUGGAUAAAUAAAAUAUGAUAUAUCCAUACAAUGGAGUAUUAUUCAGCCAUAAAUAGAAAUGAAAUUCUGAUAUCUGUUACCAUAGGGAUGAACCUUGAAAACAUUACGGUGAGUGAAUAAGACACAAAAGGACAAAUAUUGUAUGACCCCAAAAUAUGAAGUAUCCAGGAUAGACAAAUGCAUAGAGACAAAAGUUUAUUAGUGGUUACCAGGGUCUGGGAGGGUAAGGCGAAUGGAGAGUCAUUAAUGAAGGGAUACUGAGUUUUGUUUUGGGGUAAUAAAAAAACUUUUGGAAAUGGGUAGUGAUGAUGGUAGCACAACGUGACGAAUGUAAUUAAUAUCACUGACUUGUACGCUUAAAAAUGGCUAAAAUGGCAAACUGUGAUAUAUAUUUUUUUACCACAAUUAAAAAAAAAAAAAGUAAAUUAAAACAUUGAAAAAAAAAAAAAAGAAAGAAUUAAGUUUGGUAGACCUGGAAUCUUAAUGAUCAAAUUAAAGGAAAUACUUCCCCACGAACGAUUUGGCUACACACCUGUAUGAAGACAUGGAUAAUGUAGUCCACCUUCCUUUGCAGCAUGUUACAUGUAGCCUGGGAUUAAUAAGAUGGGGCCCCAGGGUAUCUGUAAAGCUCUCUGAAAUUGUAUAUAAAAAAUUUCUGUCUAUGUGAACAUUCGUAUUUUUUUGUAACAUGCAUUUUUUCAUAACUCUUUUCAAAGGGGCCAAUGACCCAAAAAGAUUGCAAAUUAAUAGAAAAAGUGUGAAUUGUGGAUUUGGAGAGAAUUAACUUCAAAUUUGUAAUUUCCUAGUUGUGGGAACUUGAGUGAGUUACUUAAAUCAUUUGAGAUUCAUUUAUUUAUUUUUUUAAAUAUAAAAUGGGAAUAAUAAUGUCUUCCUUUUUAGAAUUAUUAUGUAUCUUAAAGUAAUAUGUAAGUACCUCACAUAAUAUCUAGCACAUACUAGACUAUGAAUGGUAGCUACUAUAUAUGGUACAUAUAUCAUCACAUAAAUAGAUAUUCUGGAAUCCCAGCUUCUCCUAAUACUUUUUUUUCAGGGGGGAGGGAAAGACCCUCAAUUUUGUACUCAAGUGGGUGUAAACUACAUAUGAUGGUCUAAUUCUUCUUAUCAUUGACUCUUUCAGACAAUCCCACAAUUGACAACUAAAAGGAAUUCUGGGGACAUACUGGAUAGAUGUUCCUUCUUGACAAAAGCUGAAUAAAGUAUUUCAGCCAACUAUUUCAAUGUUAGAUCAAUAGUUGGUUCAACCAAGGCGGACAGCCUUACGCAGUCAACAUCCUGGAGAGAUAGGAGACAUACUGAGAUGAGCCCCAUCUGCCUCUGCUUGUACCUAUUUAUGAAUCCCUGGGUGAUACAAAUGGUAAACACGCUUAGCUACAAACUGGAUGAUUGGAGGUUCCAGUCCACUCAGAGGUGCCUCACAGGAAAGGCAUGGUAAUCUACUUCCAAAAAACCAGCCUCUGAAAACCCUACGGAGCACGGUUCUGCUCUGACACACAUGGGGUUGCCAUGAGUGGGAAUCAACCAGUUUGGCAACUAGUUACCUAUUUAUGGUAUGGGAGUAGAGCACAAAGUGACAGCUGAGGAUUGGGGUAAUCUCAUUGGAUUUAGGAGGAAAAGGUUGGAGUUUGGAAUUGCCAAAGAGACCUGGACUUGAGAGGAAGAUGAAACCACAGGGAAGUUGGCCCAUCAUUUUGUGUGUCAUUUCCCUCAUACAUCUGGCAAUUCCUAAACAGUGAAUGUACAGAGCGAGAUUUCCCGAAAGCAGCUGCUGGGAGCUAAAGAGCUGUGCAGAGAUUUACACUAUCUUAUGGUGAUGAGGGGACAAAGACUGAAGCAGGGGGCCUAACAAGAUGGCAGCCCCUGGUACAAAUCCCUGACUUUCAGCUGAGGCCCCAGAGAAUUUUACUUUGGGAGUAAGAACAGGACAUAAAAAGACCAAACCUAAUAAAGCCUAAGAUUCACCAUCAACUGGAUGAAGUUGAUCUGAAAAUACUCUUCCUGCCAGGGGGAAAAAAAAAAAUCAAAUCCUCUUUGGAUGUGAACAUCAUCAGCCAGAGCCUCUGCAACUUUUCAUAUACAGUGUCUGCAAUCCAGUAAAACAUUUGCAAACAUAUCAACAAAUGGCACCAAAUGACCAAAAACCAAAUGAAGAAACAGACAA
This is a long non-coding RNA of Loxodonta africana (African savanna elephant), 3380 nucleotides long. RefSeq lists it as uncharacterized. NCBI's taxonomy places the organism in Eukaryota, Metazoa, Chordata, Mammalia, Proboscidea, Elephantidae. The transcript is spliced from 5 exons. The record is from RefSeq and is a predicted model, not a curated record.